UUUCAUUAGUAUUAAUAGUUAAGAUCUUUAAAUUAAAAGAAUUUGACGGUAAUUUAUCAUUCCAGAGGAGCCUGUCCUUUAAUCGAUACUCCACGCUAAAUUUUACCUUAGUUUUUAGCUUAUAUACCUCUGUUAUAGAGUGUUUUAUUAGGAAUUAUUCUCUUUUAUUUUUUAAAAAAUUAUAUCAGGUCAAGGUUUAGCUAUAUUAAGGUUGAGAUGGGCUACAAUUUAUUUUAUUAUUGAAUCUUUUUUAUUUAUUUAGAAAGUGAAAAUGGAUUUGGUUGUAAUUUAUAUUAUAUUUUAUUUAUGAUAUUUGUUCUAGAUUAAG
RNAcentral lists this ribosomal RNA (328 nucleotides) under Acanthosoma nigrodorsum. RNAcentral's name for it is "partial 12S rRNA". Lineage: Eukaryota; Metazoa; Arthropoda; Insecta; Hemiptera; Acanthosomatidae. The record is from RNAcentral.